UUUUAUUUUGUUUAAUGAUUGAGCAAUGUUAUUCUUUUUCACCUUUCAAACUACAAAACUAUAUAAUCUACAACGCUAUGGUAUUUCUAUACCAUUUGCGCUAAAUGGAAUAGCUUAUGUUUUCUAUUCACAUAUUCUUUAUACGUAUUAUAACUUUAUAUUGUAUUUUAUAUUUGGGGUUUAGGGUUAAUGAUUAGAGUUUAUGAUUUAAUAUAGGUUUUGGGUUUAGUGAUUGGGGUUUAGGGUUUAAUAUUUAGGGAGGGGGUGGGUUUAGUGUUUUGGGGAUGUUAGGGAAGUGUUGGUGUGGAGUCUAUAAAUGAAAUAGUAUUUUAUAUUUGGGUAUUUUUUAAUCUACAACGCUCUCGUAUUUCUAUGUCAUUUGCGUUAAAUGGAAUAGCUUUUUUUUCUAUUUACAUAUUCUUUAUAUGUAUUAUAACUUUAUAUUAUAUUUUAUAUUUGGAUUUACGGUUAAUGAUUAGAGUUUAGGGUUUAGAAUAGGGUUUGGGUUUAGUGAUUCGGGUUUAGGGUUUAAUAUAUAAAGGUUGGGGAGGGGGAGUUGGGUUUAGUGUUUUGGGGAUGUUAGGGGAGUGUUGGUGGGAUCUGUAAAUGGAAUAGUAGCUAGAACCAUACUUGAUUUUAUUUUGGAAAACUAUUAUAUUUUAUACUGUAGUAUUUAUAAAAAAAUUAUAACAUUAUUUUGUACCCGUAACAUAACGUCAUCAAUGGUGUGUUAAUCGUUGUUUCUCUUCUUCAGUAAACUGUGAUUAUAUCUCAA
RNAcentral lists this long non-coding RNA (775 nucleotides) under Brassica napus (rape). RNAcentral's name for it is "long non-coding RNA (BNAP_LNC005420)". The record is from RNAcentral. Lineage: Eukaryota; Viridiplantae; Streptophyta; Magnoliopsida; Brassicales; Brassicaceae.